RNAcentral lists this long non-coding RNA (456 nucleotides) under Castor canadensis (American beaver). Its description in RNAcentral is "lncRNA (ENSCCNG00000016102.1)". Lineage: Eukaryota; Metazoa; Chordata; Mammalia; Rodentia; Castoridae. The record is from RNAcentral.
CCCAGACUCAUUGCGGUAUUGAUUGAACUUGGCGAUCUAGAGCAAGUUAUUUUCUCCUCCACUGUCUCUCCAGCUACAGCAGGGACAAAGACGACAGACAGCCUUUAACCACCCCAAGGAUGUGCAGUAAACAAAAUGAUGUAUGGACACAUUCUUAGGAGAAAGUGGAAGAAGUUGGUAUUCAGAGAGUCAGGAGACAGUAGACAGAAGAGGGCCUGAUGGCUGCCUGUUUCUGAUUGGGAAGAGAAACUCCUGAAAGGGACAUCUCUGAAAAGGUGGAACUGAUUCUUCUGAUGCAGGCAUCACUGUGUCAUACUUGUUGCAAUGGCACAGCUCACCAACAUUAGCCUGCAAGACCAUUGUUACUGGAAAUGACCAACACUCACCGCAUCACUGCACUGUGAGAUCCUUUGACUGAACUCUUUACCUGGGGACAUGGUAGGAAGCCAUCUUGGC